AGACCCGAAACCCGGUGAUCUAGCCAUGGGCAGGUUGAAGGUUGGGUAACACUAACUGGAGGACCGAACCGACUAAUGUUGAAAAAUUAGCGGAUGACCUGUGGCUGGGGGUGAAAGGCCAAUCAAACCGGGAGAUAGCUGGUUCUCCCCGAAAGCUAUUUAGGUAGCGCCUCGUGAAUUCAUCUCCGGGGGUAGAGCACUGUUUCGGCUAGGGGGCCAUCCCGGCUUACCAACCCGAUGCAAACUGCGAAUACCGGAGAAUGUUAUCACGGGAGACACACGGCGGGUGCUAACGUCCGUCGUGAAGAGGGAAACAACCCAGACCGCCAGCUAAGGUCCCAAAGUCAUGGUUAAGUGGGAAACGAUGUGGGAAGGCCCAGACAGCCAGGAUGUUGGCUUAGAAGCAGCCAUCAUUUAAAGAAAGCGUAAUAGCUCACUGGUCGAGUCGGCCUGCGCGGAAGAUGUAACGGGGCUAAACCAUGCACCGAAGCUGCGGCAGCGACGCUGAUGCGUUGUUGGGUAGGGGAGCGUUCUGUAAGCCUGUGAAGGUGGCCUGUGAGGGUUGCUGGAGGUAUCAGAAGUGCGAAUGCUGACAUAAGUAACGAUAAAGCGGGUGAAAAGCCCGCUCGCCGGAAGACCAAGGGUUCCUGUCCAACGUUAAUCGGGGCAGGGUGAGUCGACCCCUAAGGCGAGGCCGAAAGGCGUAGUCGAUGGGAAACGGGUUAAUAUUCCCGUACUUGGUGUUACUGCGAAGGGGGGACGGAGAAGGCUAUGUUGGCCGGGCGACGGUUGUCCCGGUUUAAGCGUGUAGGCUG
RNAcentral lists this ribosomal RNA (815 nucleotides) under Salmonella enterica. RNAcentral describes it as "partial 23S ribosomal RNA". It matches the Rfam family "Bacterial large subunit ribosomal RNA", at positions 711 to 1527 of the family's 2925-position model. The record is from RNAcentral. Lineage: Bacteria; Pseudomonadati; Pseudomonadota; Gammaproteobacteria; Enterobacterales; Enterobacteriaceae.